UGGCCAUUAAUACAUGUGCCUGGUCCUUGUGUAAAUGCCAAUACCAUCUCAUGUACAAGAGAACCUUUUAGAAAGGGUCCUGCCGCUAUUUGACAUAUUAAUAAGGUACAGAUAGGGAAUAUAGAGCAACAAGAUUUUAAUAAUAAAGAGUAAAUUAGCUUAAGAAUAUUCUAUCCAAAAAUAUGGCCAAAAUACAGAGAAAAAAAGGUAAAAUGUUUGAAGGUUUCGAGGUCGCGUCAAUCCCCAAUAAACUUCCGUUUCUUAGAAGUGUUCAUGUAUGGUCGAAUCACCCACUCAAUCUGGGCUUCACUCUGGUCCAUCGUUCCCAAUUUUAUCUGAUAAAGCCGCAUUUCGAACCGUGGACCAAUCUCCUUGAGCUCAAUAGACUUAGGACCUCCAUGCUUUUCAUAGAUAUGAUGCCUGAAUGAAAUAUAGUCAGACUGAUUUGCGAAAGUGAUAAUGCGUUUAGUGUCUGGCUUUGGCAUUGGGAAAAGAUGCUUUAGAAUGUUAGCUGUCCUUUCCCCCAGCUUUGUUUUAAAAUUGUUAAGAAUCAAAUGCGGGUAAGCCUCAGGCAUUGUUCCAAUGGCUUUCUUGUCCUUGAUAUCAUGUCUAGUAACCACAUUGAGCAAUCCAAAGUAAGCAGUCGGACCAAAAGGCAGAUGGCUUAUAAUUAAACCAUCAGGCACACCACGAUGCUCAUGAACCAAAAUGAUAUCUGUAUAAUCAUGUGCCCGGCAACUUUCAAUAAUUUCAGAAAUAACCUGACCACCACGAUUGAUCCGUUCUGCAUUGGGAAAGACAAACUUUAACUCCUUUACAAACUGUAUAAGAGGGGCACUUGGAUUGCGCGAGGUAGUGAGCAAAAUUUUAGGAUCUCUUUCAGUUGCAUUUGCAUACUCAUCAUCAAUAUGAGUCUUUGGAAUUGCAGUGUUUUCAUCUUCGAGAUCGAUUUCCUGGCGAAGUGCGGCCUCCUCGUUUCUGAGCUCGGUAGGAAUGGGCUUUCCCUCAGCAAGGGCUUCUUUGAUUUUGCGUUUCUUCUCGUAAAGCACUCGCUCUUUGCCUUCUAAGCUCUUUCUGUACAAAUACUCUCUUCUCAAUCGAAUGUUCCGACGCAACAUUUCUCUGAUUGAAGCACCUUUUGAUAGAGAGCGAAGCUGUUAAACCGGAGGAAGGAGAGAGCUGAGAAUUUGCUAGGGUU
Molecule: unclassified non-coding RNA, 1198 nt
Filed under: Hevea brasiliensis (rubber tree)
Lineage: Eukaryota; Viridiplantae; Streptophyta; Magnoliopsida; Malpighiales; Euphorbiaceae
Source: RNAcentral